RNAcentral lists this ribosomal RNA (427 nucleotides) under uncultured Aquabacterium sp. RNAcentral's name for it is "bacterial SSU rRNA". It matches the Rfam family "Bacterial small subunit ribosomal RNA", at positions 355 to 774 of the family's 1533-position model. The record is from RNAcentral. Lineage: Bacteria; Pseudomonadati; Pseudomonadota; Betaproteobacteria; Burkholderiales; Sphaerotilaceae.
UGGGGAAUUUUGGACAAUGGGCGCAAGCCUGAUCCAGCAAUGCCGCGUGCAGGAAGAAGGCCUUCGGGUUGUAAACUGCUUUUGUCAGGGAAGAAAUCUUCUGGGCUAAUACCCCGGGAGGAUGACGGUACCUGAAAAAUAAGCACCGGCUAACUACGUGCCAGCAGCCGCGGUAAUACGUAGGGUGCGAGCGUUAAUCGGAAUUACUGGGCGUAAAGCGUGCGCAGGCGGCUUUGCAAGACAGAUGUGAAAUCCCCGGGCUCAACCUGGGAACUGCAUUUGUGACUGCAAGGCUAGAGUACGGCAGAGGGGGAUGGAAUUCCGCGUGUAGCAGUGAAAUGCGUAGAUAUGCGGAGGAACACCAAUGGCGAAGGCAAUCCCCUGGGCCUAUACUGACGCUCAUGCACGAAAGCGUGGGGAGCAAACA